RNAcentral lists this long non-coding RNA (2416 nucleotides) under Mytilus galloprovincialis (Mediterranean mussel). Lineage: Eukaryota; Metazoa; Mollusca; Bivalvia; Mytilida; Mytilidae. The record is from RNAcentral.
CUUUCAUCUUUUUAUAUUUCUCCGUGUAUUCGCUGUUUUUUCGCUUUUUGUAAAGUUUUGUUUUUCUUGUUAAUUUGUCGUCUUAAUUUAUCAGAUAUCCACGGUAAUCGAUGUUUGUUUCGUAGGAUCUUUGAUAGAAUAUGUUUUUCGACAGAGCUGAUGAGUUUGGUUUUAAAUAGUUCCCAUAGCUCAUUGGUGUUAAGAGAAUCAUAGUUGUCAAUGAUUGUUUUGUCGAUGGUACCUAUGUCAAGUUUAAUUUCGUCCCAGUUGGCUUUGUUAUACUUGUAUACUUUUUGUGGGGUUUCUCUUAUUCUCUUAAGCCAGAUGUCUGCUUCGGCAUUAACAAUACCAUGGUCGCUUGAACCUAUUGGUGGUAGUGUGGUUACUUUGUUGAUGUAUGUUGGGUUCUUAAUUAUUAUCAGAUCUAGUAUACGGUCAUUUCUUGUUGGUGUAUUGACAACUUGAUGUAGAUUUGUGGCAUUCAUUAUAUCUAAGAGAUUUUGGUGAACGGUUGUAUAUCAGGUUUGCCUGGUAUUGUGCUUGAUGUUGACCAAUCAAUUUGUCCCAAGUUAAAAUCACCCCCACAAUGAUGGUUGCAUUUGAUUGGGCUAUGGUAUAAAGCAUCGCCAUCUUGUUUAUUAAUGAGUUACUUUUCCUCAAAGGUCACUAGUAGACUGUAAAGGUUAAUAACAUUUCGGAACUAAAGUGCAUGCAUGAUGGCCUGGGAGCCGGUGCAUGCUCACUAUUUUUUCUGUGUAAUCAAUCUCUUUCCUCUUGUGUUCAUUGUGUGGCUUAUCCCUGUAGUUGAAUUGUUUUCAGAUUUUGAUGUGUAGUCUACAAUAUUUUGUUUUGGAUCCUUGCCUCUGUCACUUAUUAAGGUAAGCCGGAAAUUUUGCUUUGAAACAGUCCACCCCAAAGACCACAUCAGUGACGGUAGACGUGAAUGCAAACUCAUCUUUAGCUAUGGUUUAACUGAACGGAUGAAUGAACUAACAUUUUGUAUUUAUAUAUCCUGGUCAAACCUUAGAAUUAUAUUCCCAUUUUGGAGUUUUUUCUUUGUUAAUUCCAUACAAAUGUCCUUUAUCCAUGUUUAAAACAUAUUUGCCGCGUCUCUUACGACAUCCAAUGAAUAAAAGAAGAGACUGACUAAUUAUGAUAAAUAUCGUACUUAUUUAUGUUAUAUGAGAUUUUUCAUCGACAAGAAUUUCGGAUGUGAACGUGUCAACCUGGAUUUCCAUACAUAUAGCUGUUGCGGUUCCCGAGAUUAGGAUUGCCAAUCAGAUCUGUGACUGUGUAAAGGCUGUUUUAUGUAUUUUCCGAUAUUUUGAAUUAAAAAAUCCUAGCGAAGUAAGCUACCAUACGACUAUCGCAAUCUAUGGUGUAUUUCCCUAGAAUUAUUGGUCUGAUAUUAAGCUGCUUCCAUCUUUUGAAGAGUUUUUUUAAGGUUAUGUUAACGCAAAAUUUGACUGCUUACUACUAAUCAUAGUAUAAUGCUAACCCAGUUGAUACACAGACAGGGGUCGAAUUUGAAUUUAAGCUUUUUUGUGUACUGGUCAGGCUCCAAAUCUACUGGUCCUGCAGAAAUUACAUUCAUUUGACAAACACUAAUAUAAAUGAUAGAUGUUUACCUUUAUUUUCAUGCUCAAAGUUUCAUUUAUGGUAGACAAGAAAAAGAGAGAGUCUUGAUCCUGAUUUUGAUAAAGGCUUUGAUAAUCUCAAUCAUUUUCUUAAUGAAAUCAGGAUCAAGAACAGAAAAAAUGUCAACAUUGUAUUCCACAUCAUCACAAUACUCACGACGACCACCCCAUGGGGUGCCUAACUAAGUUGUCUGGAGCGCUGUCCACAAAUGUUUCAUAUAUCAAUAGCCUGGAUAUUUACAUCAACUUUCCUUUGGUUAAUUUCAUAAACUUUAUUCCGAUCUUACUUUUGAAUGUCACUUAUUUUAAUUUUUUUUUCUGGAUAUUUUACACUUUCCAAAAAUUUCCACAUUUUGUGUUUUUGUGAAGGACGCUCACCCGAGAUAUUAAGUUAAUCAAUUGUAAUACUUAGUACCCCCCCCCCCCCAACCAGUACCGGGUAAUUGAUUUCGCAGGUAUUUUUUUUUGUAAACAAACCGAUAUCGACAAAUUUCUACUGGUCCGCCGGACCACCAACUGUCAAAAUCUACUGGUCCGACGCAAAUUCUACUGGUCUCGGACCACCGCACCAGCGCUAAUUUUGAUCCCUGUACACAGAUAAUAAAAGUAUAGGUUCGUGCGAGAAAUAGUUAGGGCCCCGCCAAAGGCGGGUCGCCCUAUAGUGAUCAGUCUGUCCGUCGUCCGUCCGUCCGUAACACUUUGUAAUAACUUUGUGUCCGCUCCAUAUCUAGAGAACCAUUAUGAUUUCAUACUUUAUACUUUACAUGUUUAUUAACCAC